UCCGUAGGGGGCAAGCGUUGUCCGGAUUUACUGGGCGUAAAGGGCGCGUAGGCGGCCCGCUAAGUCGAACGUGAAAUCCCCGAGCUCAACUCGGGAACUGCGUCCGAUACUGGUGGGCUUGAAUCCGGGAGAGGGAUGCGGAAUUCCAGGUGUAGCGGUGAAAUGCGUAGAUAUCAGGAGGAACACCGGCGGUGUAGACGGCUAUCUGGACAGUAACUGACGCUGAGACACGAAAGCGUGGGGAGCAAACAGG
This 253-nucleotide ribosomal RNA is filed under the name uncultured bacterium. RNAcentral's name for it is "partial 16S ribosomal RNA". It matches the Rfam family "Bacterial small subunit ribosomal RNA", at positions 524 to 776 of the family's 1533-position model. The record is from RNAcentral.